This 252-nucleotide unclassified non-coding RNA is filed under the name uncultured Caryophanales bacterium. Its description in RNAcentral is "uncultured Bacillales bacterium contains 16S-23S intergenic spacer region". It matches the Rfam family "Bacterial small subunit ribosomal RNA", at positions 524 to 776 of the family's 1533-position model. The record is from RNAcentral. Lineage: Bacteria; Bacillati; Bacillota; Bacilli; Caryophanales.
UACGGAGGGACUAGCGUUGUCCGGAAUUAUUGGGCGUAAAGCGCGCGUAGGCGGUUUCUUAAGUCUGAUGUGAAAUCUUGCGGCUCAACCGCAAGCGGUCAUUGGAAACUGGGGAACUUGAGUGCAGAAGAGGAAAGUGGAAUUCCACGUGUAGCGGUGAAAUGCGUAGAUAUGUGGAGGAACACCAGUGGCGAAGGCGACUUUCUGGUCUGUAACUGACGCUGAGGCGCGAAAGCGUGGGGAGCAAACAGG